This 406-nucleotide ribosomal RNA is filed under the name Bacillus sp. (in: firmicutes). Its description in RNAcentral is "bacterial SSU rRNA". It matches the Rfam family "Bacterial small subunit ribosomal RNA", at positions 339 to 736 of the family's 1533-position model. Lineage: Bacteria; Bacillati; Bacillota; Bacilli; Caryophanales; Bacillaceae. The record is from RNAcentral.
CUACGGGAGGCAGCAGUAGGGAAUCUUCCGCAAUGGACGAAAGUCUGACGGAGCAACGCCGCGUGAGUGAGGAAGGUUUUCGGAUCGUAAAGCUCUGUUGUUAGGGAAGAACAAGUGCCGUUCAAAUAGGGCGGCACCUUGACGGUACCUAACCAGAAAGCCACGGCUAACUACGUGCCAGCAGCCGCGGUAAUACGUAGGUGGCAAGCGUUGUCCGGAAUUAUUGGGCGUAAAGGGCUCGCAGGCGGUUUCUUAAGUCUGAUGUGAAAGCCCCCGGCUCAACCGGGGAGGGUCAUUGGAAACUGGGGAACUUGAGUGCAGAAGAGGAGAGUGGAAUUCCACGUGUAGCGGUGAAAUGCGUAGAGAUGUGGAGGAACACCAGUGGCGAAGGCGACUCUCUGGUCUG